CAGUCCAUCCGUCGCACCAUUUCCUUAUCGGCUCCCUCGACUGAGGUUUCUUCUUCUCUCCUGGGUUUUGGCCACAUGCAGAGAAGGUAUGGGUAUCUCUGCGAUUCCAUUCGAUUCGACCACGAAGGUGUUGUUCUGUUGGUUUCGUCUGUUCUGUCUCCCCAAGGUUCCUCUGUCUCUGUCUCUGUCUCUGGAUCAUACGUCAUUCUCCAUCUCCAUUUCUCUGUUUUGGAUAGCAGAUGUCACCACCGCGGUUCAAGAGGUAUAUGUGGUCUAUGGUUCCAUUCUCCUCCUUUUCAAUCGUUCUGGUUUCCUUCUCCAGUUUCAAUUUUUUUCUGUUAAUUGUUACUGUUUUCUUAAUCCAUCGUUUAAUUUUGAGUUGUUUGGUUUCUGAUUUAAUCAUGGUGAUUGUUACUUGUUUUUCUAAAUCAAUGGUUCUCUCCUAUGUUUGUGCUUUUGGUGUUUCGGGAAAAUAAUUUUCUUCUUGGGGGUUUUGCUGAUUAUAAUUUAUAUAAUUUUCUUUCUGCUAUUGGACUGAAGUUAACUGUAGUGUUAGGUAUUCUUGACUGAUGAAAUUCUAUUUUUGCUUUAUUGUGAAUUGUCAAAUCAACUAUAUGUGGUAGGUAUUUGGUAAUUUGUAACAGGCCUCUUCCCACAUUAUUUUUGCUCUUUUCCCAUGAGUAUUUGGUUACUUGUGAUAUCUUCCUAAAUGAUAUGUGUAGGGAUAUCAAUCUAUAUAUGCCUAUUAGUCUAUCUCUGUCCCAUAUGUGAAGCUUUCAUUGUAAGCUUUAGUGUUUGUUAACUUUGGGAGUUUAUAACUCCAACUCAUCUAUUUAUCUUCUCAUCUUAGUUCUGAAAUUUUCUCUGUAUAUUUUCUCCUUUUGGUGUUCUUAUCCUAUAUAUGUUGGGAAUGAAUAACCGUGUUGAUCUGGUGGAGAAAAUCACUCCCUGGAGAGAAUCAUGGAAAGUGCAUGUUAAAGUUGUGAAGUUGUGGUACCACAAGAAUCCUGCUUUGGAUGCUUCUCAAAAUCUGUUGCAUAUAGUCUUAAUGGAUGAGAAGUUACACAAGAUCCAAGCAACGAUUAGAGAUCAGCUUAUAUCAAAGUUUGCUGUGUCUCUAAAGGAAGGGGAUCUGUAUUUGAUGACCCAUUUUACAGUUGUACCAAACACUGGUUUAAACAGAGUGACCAAACAUCGGUUCAGACUUUUGUUCCAAUACAAGACCUCUGUUGUUUCGGUGGUAUCUCCAAAGAUACCUCAUUUCGGUUUGUGUUUUACAUCAAUAGAUGAAAUUGAUCAAAUGACAAAGGACCACAAUUUCCUCAUUGACUUUGUUGGGAUCAUUACUGGUGUUUGAAAAGAAAGAGAUGUAGCAUCAUAUGGGAAGCUGAUCAAAGCAGUUGUACUAGAAGUUUUUACUCAUGGCAAAAAGGUCCAAUGCAAUGUAUUUGGAAAUUCUUGUGAUCUGUUGGAAUAUGAUAACUUACAAAAAUAUCCAAGAUCUCCGAUGAUUGUCCUCGAGUCUUUUAAAAUCAAAGCAAUUGAAGGAUGCUCGUUACUUUGUUAUUGGGAUAAUUAAGGAAGUUAUGGAUGAACCAGAUUGGUGGUACUACUCAUGUGUAUGUGGUCAUGCCGUUGUUGACUAUGAGGAUCUCUUCCUUUGUGAUGCUUGUGGUUCAUGUGUUGAACAUGUUAUGGUCAAGGUGGUUUCGUUUUUAUUCUGGGAACUAUAUCAUCUGUUUUCAAGAAUCAUAAGUGGUGGUUCUCAACUUAUUUAUGUGGUUCUCUUGUGUCAGCUAAUAAACAAAUUUUAUCAUGUGAUCUAUGUCAGCUUCAAUGCAUUGAUGCUGUCCCAAGAUUCUGCUUGAAGAUUGUAGUGUCUCAUGCAAAUGACAACAAUAUAUUUGCUCUUAAAGAUCGUGAGGUUGUGCAACCAAUAAAGACAAGAUGCUCGAGCUUUUUGGAUAAUCACCCAGAGUUGAAUCAGGGAUCUUAUUGCAAAAUUGUUCCAUUGAAACUCAUUUCAAGUCUUUUGCACAAAAAAGUUGUAUUCAUGUGAUGCUAGGCCUGUGGGUUAUGAGAUGAAUCGAUCUGUGUAUAUUGUUCAACAAAUUUAGGAUGAUGCCUCCGUUAUUAAUGUUUUUGAGGCUGCUGCUGAGAUGAAUGAGCAUAAGAUUCAUGUUCUGGUUGAUUCUAUGCCUGAAGUUGAAGAUGCUUUUAGCCAAUAUGGAAGCGAUCAUGAGGCUGUGGAGAAUCUAGAUGCUUUUUAGUUUAAUAUGUUAAGAUACUACUUUAAGUUGUUGUUGUGGAUGAUCUUCAUGCUUUUUAGUUUAAUAUGCUCAGAUACUACUUUAAAUUGUUGUUUGAUUUGUAAUAUAA
Arachis ipaensis is the source of this 2379-nucleotide non-coding RNA. Lineage: Eukaryota; Viridiplantae; Streptophyta; Magnoliopsida; Fabales; Fabaceae. The record is from RefSeq and is a predicted model, not a curated record.